AAUGUGAGUAAGUGAUGACAGAAUUUUUUAUUUUGCAUUACAGAUCCCUUUAAUUUUGGAACCACAUACACACAUAGGUAAACUGUGAUUGUCACACAACAGCAAACACUCCAUUCAUAUAGAAAGGGUACAGGUGUUCAUGUUAAUAUGAACAUACUCAAAAGAAAAUAAACAUCCAAGCAUGUAUAAUUGGAAUACAAAAUCUUUACAGAGGCUUGUCUGAUCACUUACUCUUUGACAACAAAAACACGUUGAGGUAAAUUAGGCAUAGAUUGAUAGACACACUCGCAUCUGCUCAGGUAAGUAAUACAGAGAAACAUUGUUUCACACGGCUCUGCUAAUUAAUGAUGAAUGAACUGCUGCACCACGUUCAAAUGAUGUCUGAUCUCUGAGGAGAGAACUCGUACUGACUAACAAACAUUCCAUUCAUAUUCCUCUCUCUCGCUCUCUGCCUAGGGCCUACAUUUGACUCUGAAGACUUUGCAAAACACAAUUUAAAAGACAAGGCAAAACAUCAUAAAAUAAACACUCCACGACACAAGCAGUCCAUGUUCAUCUACAUAUAAAGAGACUUUCUCUCGUAGAAAUAGCAAUCUUCUCUCUGGUGUAGUUUAAACAUCAUUCGUUAUUACUGGGAUGCUCAUAUCCGCUUUUUCUUCUAGAAAAUUACUUAAUAAUUUGAGUUUACAACAGAUUUGAACUGCCGCUGUGGAUAGAGAACAUGUAUUAAGACUCCAUUAGUCAAAUAUCUGUUGCUCAGAUUAUCAAUAGAUCUUAAGUGCUUAACGGGCAUUCGGCACUAAUCUCAAUGUGAAUGUCUGAUGAACAUCUGCCAGCCCUAUCUGCCAAGAACCAUUAGUGUAGUCAUAAAACUCCAAUGUGUGCAGCCUUACACCUUUAAAAUGAGCUGCAAUGGGUUUCCAUGCAGUCACAGCCAACUCAGCAGACAAGGAUUUGGAAAUAGUUUAUAUAUUGUGAUAUUGGUUGGAAAAUGAACAAUUUUUUGCAGCUGUUUGAUAGACGCUGUAUCAAACCCAGGAUUUCUGGCUUGCAUCCAUUUAUUGAAAAGGCAGGAUGUUCCUCUGCUCUAACUGCUAUUGAUGUAUGGAGCAUUCUCACAAAAAUAUGGAGACAUAUACAGCAUGUGCCAGCAUUUGUGAUUAGCCUGGCCUUUGCGUCUGAUUCUCCACUGCGUCCACCCCUGCAAGGGCAAGCAUGACUUCCUGAGACUGCCGUGGCAAAACUCACUUUACAGAUUACACGCACCAUGGCAACAUGAACCUCAGCUUUCACGGAUCAACUUAACCAGCACGCUAAUUAGCAAGUACACUAACCUAGCUGUCUAAAAUGCCAGAAGGCUAAGGGAACUUUUAAACGUGUUCCAGAAAUAUAGCACCUAAUGAAGUCAGGUGGUCAGAGCUGCCCCGUUCAUUCUCGUCUCAGCAUAAACAGGUGUUUUAGCGUUCGCAAAUGAACAAGGCCUGUCUGUCCAAAUCUACACAUUUCCAUCCUUGCUUUUGUUUUAAUCUAAUCUUUUUAGAUGAAAUGAGCUGGUAAUGAACGUUAACCUAUUUUACAGUUCUGUCGUCAUUGAAUAAUUGAUGUCACACAUUCUUGCUGAGAAAGAAAUAAUAUGUAGACAUAUUAAAAUAACUUUCCAAAGAUAAAAUAAAACUGAUUAAAAAAAGGGAUGAGUGAAAUUAAAGAGCAAGCAAGAGAGGGGCCCUUAGGGUUUAGCUUCCUAUUUAAAUGAAGAGAUAAAGCAGAGAGAGUUCUGUGAAGUUAGUAGACCAUUUAUUAAAUACUAGGGUCUACGCUGCUUCUGUAGUAUUUAUGAAGGCUGUUAACCAUUCAGCCUCGUCUCCUUUAUUUUAUUAAAACCUGAGACUCUCUGACCCUCCAGUUAAACAACCUUGAGAUUAAUACUCACUGAUUUAACCAUAAUUGCUCUAAUAAAAUAAUAGUUAUUACUAUUGCAGCACUCCUGGAUGUGACGGAUGAACAACAGGGUGGGUUGACAAAAAUGACAAGCUCUUCUGUCGCAGAUUUAACCCUUCCUUGGAGCCACAGGAUUUAAAGCUACUGCCUAAUGCUUU
Cyprinus carpio carpio is the source of this 2096-nucleotide long non-coding RNA. The record is from Ensembl. Lineage: Eukaryota; Metazoa; Chordata; Actinopteri; Cypriniformes; Cyprinidae.